Molecule: long non-coding RNA, 861 nt
Organism: Sapajus apella (tufted capuchin)
Lineage: Eukaryota; Metazoa; Chordata; Mammalia; Primates; Cebidae
Exons: 2
Source: RefSeq, a predicted model, not a curated record
AGGGAAGAGGCCUCUCGGCUCUCUCGGGGCGGGAAUCAGUGGGCCAGGUGGCCGCAAGUACGCGGGCCGAGCCUGCAGCGCGCGGAGCAGGAAGGCAGGGAAUCCGGCUGACACAGUGUCCUGGGUUCCCAGGGCACCUCCUCUGCUCUGAGGAUGGGCUUGGAGGCCGCGGAGCAGUGAGGAGCGCAGAAAACCGUGGCGGAGGGCGAGGCCGGGCCACCGACUCUCCAAGCUCGGAAUGGAUAAGGAAGAGCGCGGAGGGCUGGCUGGGAGGAACUCGGAAAGCGUUUGAUUUAUGAGCGUAGGACGAAUCGCAUCCAAGAGCUGCGCAGCUCUGGCCGCAGCCGGGACGCCCUGCUCCUCGCUGAGCUUGGGGCCGGAAACCAGCCAUAGUCCCUACACUCCGCCGCCCGCCGCAGCUGGGAUUUAGUGGAGGAAGGGGCAAGGGAAGGCAGGGAGCAAAUCUAUGAAGAAACAUCGAGUUUUCAUUGGAACUUUCAAGCCUUUGCUGAUAAGAGCUGGGUUCUUAAACCAACCCGCCCCACACGCAUGUUGUUUACAUGCUGCAUUUUCUCACGGUAAGAACAGAGCCUAGAAAGGGAAAAAUAAACAUGGGGAUACCUAAGAAGGGAGGGGGGGGGAAGCAACAACCCAGUUACACAACCUAGAUCACGUUUUAUUGAUAUCAUUUAAAGUGCUUUUCUUUCUAGAAACUGUCUUAAUUUAUAACCUAGGGUGUAGAAACACACCAUUUUAAAUCUCAACUUGCUAACCUGGCUUCGAAGCCUUAGUGAUCCAUUAUUAGCAAUGUAAACAGUUUUAAGAAUGAAAUAUUGAUUUUUCUGACCCGGAAAAAAAAAA